GACGAACGCUGGCGGCGUGCUUAACACAUGCAAGUCGAACGGAAAGGCCCUGCUUUUGUGGGGUGCUCGAGUGGCGAACGGGUGAGUAACACGUGAGUAACCUGCCCUUGACUUUGGGAUAACUUCAGGAAACUGGGGCUAAUACCGGAUAGGAGCUCCUGCUGCAUGGUGGGGGUUGGAAAGUUUCGGCGGUUGGGGAUGGACUCGCGGCUUAUCAGCUUGUUGGUGGGGUAGUGGCUUACCAAGGCUUUGACGGGUAGCCGGCCUGAGAGGGUGACCGGCCACAUUGGGACUGAGAUACGGCCCAGACUCCUACGGGAGGCAGCAGUGGGGAAUAUUGCACAAUGGGCGGAAGCCUGAUGCAGCAACGCCGCGUGCGGGAUGACGGCCUUCGGGUGGUAAACAGCUUUCGCCUGUGACGAAGCGUGAGGGACGGUAAUGGGUAAAGAAGCACCGGCUAACUACGU
This 467-nucleotide ribosomal RNA is filed under the name uncultured bacterium. Its description in RNAcentral is "partial 16S ribosomal RNA". It matches the Rfam family "Bacterial small subunit ribosomal RNA", at positions 28 to 506 of the family's 1533-position model. The record is from RNAcentral.